This is a long non-coding RNA of Sitophilus oryzae (rice weevil), 349 nucleotides long. RefSeq lists it as uncharacterized. The transcript is spliced from 3 exons. The record is from RefSeq and is a predicted model, not a curated record. NCBI's taxonomy places the organism in Eukaryota, Metazoa, Arthropoda, Insecta, Coleoptera, Curculionidae.
AGUUGCUAACUUCCGGCUGUUAUGGAGGUGACAAAGCCACUCAGCAAUCGUAUGUUAUUCUGUCUUCCACGUCAGAAUAUCUUGCUGACUUACAGAACAGAGAGUCAUUGCUAGAAAGAGCGAUAGCUUUCUUCAGAUCAUCACAAGCGGUUUUGACCAAACUGGAUCAACUAGAAAUCCAACUCAAAACCACAGAACUGCCAAAAACAUCACCGAAACUUGCCGAACUGCACGCACACUGCGCAAGAACGAUAGAAGAAGCUACCUCAGCUCCAAUAGAAGAAGGUUAUUCCAUAAUAAAUCUAGCAGGCCUUUCUGGUGGAACUGAAGGAGUCAAGAAAAUGGUGGA